UCGAGUUAGGGUCCUCUGGAUCCGACCUCCUACCCUUUGUCUACCUUACCUCUUGUUGCUUCGGCGGACCCGUCCUCUAGGGGACCGCCGGAGGGUUUACGCCCUCUGGCCCGCGUCCGCCGGUGGCCUAUUACUAAAACACUUGUUAAAUCGUGUCGUCUGAGUAAUUGAAACAGAAAUAAUUAA
This 186-nucleotide unclassified non-coding RNA is filed under the name uncultured Rhinocladiella. Its description in RNAcentral is "sequence contains ITS1". Lineage: Eukaryota; Fungi; Ascomycota; Eurotiomycetes; Chaetothyriales; Herpotrichiellaceae. The record is from RNAcentral.